Molecule: long non-coding RNA, 100 nt
Organism: Haliotis rubra (blacklip abalone)
Lineage: Eukaryota; Metazoa; Mollusca; Gastropoda; Lepetellida; Haliotidae
Exons: 3
Source: RefSeq, a predicted model, not a curated record
AUAACUGUGAUUGUAAGUGGUUGUACCUUCAAAGGGGAUUGAAGUAGCGUAAAUUAGUUGCCUCCUUGAGAAGGUACGUAUAGUUCCGGAAAAUUUAAAG